Molecule: non-coding RNA, 447 nt
Organism: Labeo rohita (rohu)
Lineage: Eukaryota; Metazoa; Chordata; Actinopteri; Cypriniformes; Cyprinidae
Source: the annotation of a RefSeq genome assembly
AGUCAGUUUAUACAUUCAUCUGAUCACUAGAGGGAGUGAAGAAUCACUUCAGUUCAUUCAAACUGUGCUGUGAAACAAACCAUGAUCUCUUCAUCUUUACUGUUGCUUCUGGCAGUGAUAUCCUGUAUUGAUUCAAAUGAACUCACUCAGCCUGAGUCUCUGACUGUCCGUCCUGAUGCCACUCUCACUAUCAACUGUAAAGUCUCAUAUUCAGUUACAAGCUAUGGUACAGGCUGGAUUCGUCAGCCUGCAGGAAAAGCUCUGGAGUGGAUUGGAUUAAUUGAAAGUGAUGGAGACUUAUUCUACAAGGAUUCACUGAGAAGCAAGUUCAGUAUCACCAGAGACACUUCCAGUAACACAAUAACACUGCAAGGAAACAAUAUGAAAGCUGAAGACACAGCUGUGUAUUAUUGUGCCAGACAAACACAGUGACAGACGCCAACAGAC